GAUGAACGCUAGCGGCAGGCUUAAUACAUGCAAGUCGUGGGGCAGCAUGAGUAGCAAUACUUGAUGGCGACCGGCAAACGGGUGAGGAACACGUACACAACCUUCCUUCAAGCGGGGAAUAGCCCAGAGAAAUUUGGAUUAAUACCCCAUAAAUAUAUUUGAUAAGGCAUCUUAUUAAUAUUAAAGCUUCGGCACUUGAUGAUGGGUGUGCGGCUGAUUAGAUAGUUGGCGGGGUAACGGCCCACCAAGUCUACGAUCAGUAGCUGAUGUGAGAGCAUGAUCAGCCACACGGGCACUGAGACACGGGCCCGACUCCUACGGGAGGCAGCAGUAAGGAAUAUUGGACAAUGGACGAAGUCUGAUCCAGCCAUGCCGCGUGAAGGAUUAAGGUCCUCUGGAUUGUAACUUCUUUAUAUGGGACGAAAAGGGCAUUCUUGUUCACUUGACGGUACCAUAUGAAUAAGCACCGCUAACUCCGUGCCAG
Molecule: ribosomal RNA, 484 nt
Filed under: uncultured bacterium
Lineage: Bacteria
Description: bacterial SSU rRNA
Rfam family: Bacterial small subunit ribosomal RNA
Source: RNAcentral